RNAcentral lists this transfer RNA (75 nucleotides) under Candidatus Aenigmatarchaeota archaeon. RNAcentral's name for it is "tRNA-Ile". It matches the Rfam family "tRNA". Rfam says of the family: Transfer RNA (tRNA) molecules are approximately 80 nucleotides in length. Their secondary structure includes four short double-helical elements and three loops (D, anti-codon, and T loops). Lineage: Archaea; Nanobdellati; Candidatus Aenigmatarchaeota. The record is from RNAcentral.
GGUCCCGUGGCUCAGCCUGGUUAGAGCGCUCGACUGAUAAUCGAGAGGCCGCGAGUUCAAAUCUCGCCGGGACCA